GUGCUUGCUUUGGUAGCACAUAUAUUAUAAUUGGAACAAUACAGAGAAGAUUAGCAUGGCCUCUGCACAAGGAUGGGACAUAAAUUCAUGAAGCAUUCUGUAUUUUU
Molecule: small nuclear RNA, 107 nt
Organism: Vulpes vulpes (red fox)
Lineage: Eukaryota; Metazoa; Chordata; Mammalia; Carnivora; Canidae
Source: Ensembl